This 72-nucleotide transfer RNA is filed under the name Tauraco erythrolophus (red-crested turaco). It matches the Rfam family "tRNA". Rfam says of the family: Transfer RNA (tRNA) molecules are approximately 80 nucleotides in length. The record is from Rfam by way of RNAcentral. Lineage: Eukaryota; Metazoa; Chordata; Aves; Musophagiformes; Musophagidae.
GCUUUGGAGGUACAAUGGUGAGCAUAGCUGCCUUCCAAGCAGUUGACCUAGCUUCAAUUCCUGGCUAAUGCA